GAUGAACGCUAGCUACAGGCUUAACACAUGCAAGUCGAGGGGAAACGCCAUUGAAGCUUGCUUCGAUGGUCGUCGACCGGCGCACGGGUGAGUAACGCGUAUCCAACCUGCCUCUGACCAAGGGAUAACCCGUCGAAAGUCGGCCUAAUACCUUAUGCAGUCGUCGGAAGUCAUCUGAUGACGACGAAAGAUUUCAUCGGUGAGAGAUGGGGAUGCGUCUGAUUAGCUUGUUGGCGGGGUAACGGCCCACCAAGGCAACGAUCAGUAGGGGUUCGGAGAGGAAGGUCCCCAACAUUGGAACCGAGACACGGUCCAAACUCCUACGGGAGGGAGCAGUGAGGAAGAGUGGUCGAUGGGCGAGAGCCUGAACCAGCCAAGUAGCGUGCAGGAGGACGGCCCUAGGGGUUGUAAACUGCUUUUAUGCGGGGAUAAAGUGAGGGACGUGUCCUUCAUUGAAGGUACCGAAUGAAUAAGGACCGGCUAAUUCCGUG
Molecule: ribosomal RNA, 491 nt
Filed under: uncultured bacterium
Lineage: Bacteria
Description: partial 16S ribosomal RNA
Rfam family: Bacterial small subunit ribosomal RNA
Source: RNAcentral